AACACAUUGCAGAGACACCUCAGUGUCACUCUCUCACCACAUCAUGACUCAGCACGCUCUCCUGUUCAUGGCAGCCCUGCUGGGAUCCUUUCCCCUGCCCACAGACACUGUUGUAGCUCAUCUACAAACACACGAAGCUUCGUCAGGAGCAACAGAGCAGGUACGGUGUGGCCUGCUCAGGUAAAAUGUAUUUUACGUGAUUGGUCAUGUAUUCAUCACAUGUUCACAUCUGUCUCUUAUUGUUCUACAGAGUAACGUUUACAUGCCACUACUCUGCUCACCCCCCCCUGUAUCCAUAUCUCCAUCCUCCUCAGUUCACACUCUCAAACCUGCUGAUAUCGCUGCUGUUUACACACUGGGAAUGCCACCUUCACAGAGGUAGGAACAGGUUAAUGAUAAACCACUGGGUGCAGAACACUGGAUUUGGCUAUUUUUCAGAUUGCGAACUAAAUGGAUAUUCACAAUGAUACACAGGACGCACAGUAU
Molecule: long non-coding RNA, 486 nt
Filed under: Gouania willdenowi (blunt-snouted clingfish)
Lineage: Eukaryota; Metazoa; Chordata; Actinopteri; Blenniiformes; Gobiesocidae
Description: lncRNA (ENSGWIG00000023220.1)
Source: RNAcentral